UACGGAGGAUGCAAGCGUUAUCCGGAAUGAUUGGGCGUAAAGGGUCCGCAGGUGGCAGUGUAAGUCUGCUGUCAAAGAAUGAGGCUUAACCUUAUCAAGGCAGUGGAAACUACACAGCUAGAGUACGGUCGGGGUAGAAGGAAUUCCUGGUGUAGCGGUGAAAUGCGUAGAUAUCGGAAGGAACACCAGUGGCGAAAGCGGCUUCCUGGUCCAGCACCGACGUUCAGGCACGAAAGCGUGGGGAGCAAACAGG
RNAcentral lists this ribosomal RNA (253 nucleotides) under uncultured bacterium. RNAcentral's name for it is "partial 16S ribosomal RNA". It matches the Rfam family "Bacterial small subunit ribosomal RNA", at positions 524 to 776 of the family's 1533-position model. The record is from RNAcentral.